AACCCAUUAUGUGGACAAUCCUCGACUAACCUUUUAAACCUCCCGAAGCAUCACUGAGCGAUUCGUCUAUGUCUUGUUCAAAAUUAGUAAUAAGCUUCCUUCGUCU
Benincasa hispida (wax gourd) is the source of this 106-nucleotide non-coding RNA. Lineage: Eukaryota; Viridiplantae; Streptophyta; Magnoliopsida; Cucurbitales; Cucurbitaceae. The record is from RefSeq and is a predicted model, not a curated record.